GGGCUCAUGGUCUAGUGGUAUGACAUCGCUCUCACACAGCGAAGGCCGCCGGUUCGAAUCCGGCUGAGCCCA
This 72-nucleotide transfer RNA is filed under the name Thermoplasmata archaeon. Its description in RNAcentral is "tRNA-Val". It matches the Rfam family "tRNA". Rfam says of the family: Transfer RNA (tRNA) molecules are approximately 80 nucleotides in length. The record is from RNAcentral. RNAcentral also lists the same sequence under 1 other name. Lineage: Archaea; Methanobacteriati; Thermoplasmatota; Thermoplasmata.